GUCUACAGCCAAACCACCCUGAACGCACCUGAUCUCGUCUGAUCUCGGAAGCUAAGCAGGGUGGGGCCUGGUUAGUACUUGGAUGGGAGACACUUAGGACACCACUGAGAGCUAGAACUGUAGCUC
Otolemur garnettii (small-eared galago) is the source of this 126-nucleotide ribosomal RNA. Lineage: Eukaryota; Metazoa; Chordata; Mammalia; Primates; Galagidae. The record is from Ensembl.